RNAcentral lists this ribosomal RNA (513 nucleotides) under Vibrio parahaemolyticus. RNAcentral's name for it is "partial 23S ribosomal RNA". It matches the Rfam family "Bacterial large subunit ribosomal RNA", at positions 1 to 557 of the family's 2925-position model. Lineage: Bacteria; Pseudomonadati; Pseudomonadota; Gammaproteobacteria; Vibrionales; Vibrionaceae. The record is from RNAcentral.
GUUGUAUGGUUAAGUGACUAAGCGUACACGGUGGAUGCCUUGGCAGUCAGAGGCGAUGAAAGACGUAGUAACUUGCGAUAAGCCCAGAUUAGGUAGUAACAACCAUUUGAGUCUGGGAUUUCUGAAUGGGGAAACCCACUUACAUAAGUAAGUAUCAUUAACUGAAUACAUAGGUUAAUGAGGCGAACCGGGGGAACUGAAACAUCUAAGUACCCCGAGGAAAAGAAAUCAACCGAGAUUCCGAAAGUAGCGGCGAGCGAAAUUGGACUAGCCCUUAAGCUUUACACGCGUUAGACGAACGGUCUGGAAAGUCCGGCGAUACAGGGUGAUAGCCCCGUAGUUGACGACGUGUGUUCAGUGAAAUCGAGUAGGGCGGGACACGUGAUAUCCUGUCUGAAUAUGGGGGGACCAUCCUCCAAGGCUAAAUACUACUGACUGACCGAUAGUGAACCAGUACCGUGAGGGAAAGGCGAAAAGAACCCCUGUGAGGGGAGUGAAAUAGAACCUGAAACC